AUGAGGAUAACUUUGAGAUAAUUCCAAGCAUGAAAGAUAAUAAAGCCAAAAAGAGGUAACUGAAGGUGCUUGAGUGCGGAUGCAACGUGAGGAUAGAUGGGAAUUCUGAAGUUGAAUAGAAAAGAGACUCCCUAACACAUCACAUAUUCAAACAUGCAUUAAGAUGUCCUUUACAUUCAAUUCCAAGUCACCUCCUAUUCAAUAUUU
RNAcentral lists this long non-coding RNA (207 nucleotides) under Carica papaya (papaya). RNAcentral's name for it is "long non-coding RNA (CPAP_LNC004658)". Lineage: Eukaryota; Viridiplantae; Streptophyta; Magnoliopsida; Brassicales; Caricaceae. The record is from RNAcentral.